ACACUGAACAUUGAGCCUUGAUGUGUAGGAUAGGUGGGAGGCUUUGAAGUGUGGACGCCAGUCUGCAUGGAGCCGACCUUGAAAUACCACCCUUUAAUGUUUGAUGUUCUAACGUGGACCCGUGAUCCGGGUUGCGGACAGUGUCUGGUGGGUAGUUUGACUGGGGCGGUCUCCUCCUAAAGAGUAACGGAGGAGCACGAAGGUUGGCUAAUCCUGGUCGGACAUCAGGAGGUUAGUGCAAUGGCAUAAGCCAGCUUGACUGCGAGCGUGACGGCGCGAGCAGGUGCGAAAGCAGGUCAUAGUGAUCCGGUGGUUCUGAAUGGAAGGGCCAUCGCUCAACGGAUAAAAGGUACUCCGGGGAUAACAGGCUGAUACCGCCCAAGAGUUCAUAUCGACGGCGGUGUUUGGCACCUCGAUGUCGGCUCAUCACAUCCUGGGGCUGAAGUAGGUCCCAAGGGUAUGGCUGUUCGCCAUUUAAAGUGGUACGCGAGCUGGGUUUAGAACGUCGUGAGACAGUUCGGUCCCUAUCUGCCGUGGGCGCUGGAGAACUGAGGGGGGCUGCUCCUAGUACGAGAGGACCGGAGUGGACGCAUCACUGGUGUUCGGGUUGUCAUGCCAAUGGCACUGCCCGGUAGCUAAAUGCGGAAGAGAUAAGUGCUGAAAGCAUCUAAGCACGAAACUUGCCCCGAGAUGAGUUCUCCCUGAGACUUAGAGUCUCCUGAAGGAACGUUGAAGACGACGACGUUGAUAGGCCGGGUGUGUAAGCGCAGCGAUGCGUUGAGCUAACCGGUACUAAUGAACCGUGAGGCUUAACCUUACAACGCCGAAG
This 829-nucleotide ribosomal RNA is filed under the name Salmonella enterica subsp. enterica serovar Panama str. SA20030878. RNAcentral describes it as "bacterial LSU rRNA". It matches the Rfam family "Bacterial large subunit ribosomal RNA", at positions 2114 to 2925 of the family's 2925-position model. The record is from RNAcentral. Lineage: Bacteria; Pseudomonadati; Pseudomonadota; Gammaproteobacteria; Enterobacterales; Enterobacteriaceae.